This 253-nucleotide ribosomal RNA is filed under the name uncultured bacterium. Its description in RNAcentral is "partial 16S ribosomal RNA". It matches the Rfam family "Bacterial small subunit ribosomal RNA", at positions 524 to 776 of the family's 1533-position model. The record is from RNAcentral.
UACAGAGGGGGCGAGCGUUAUUCGGAAUUAUUGGGCGUAAAGGGCUCGUAGGCGGUUUGUCGCGUCGGGAGUGAAAACUCAGGGCUUAACCCUGAGCCUGCUUCCGAUACGGGCAGACUAGAGGUAUGCAGGGGAGAACGGAAUUCCUGGUGUAGCGGUGAAAUGCGCAGAUAUCAGGAGGAACACCGGUGGCGAAGGCGGUUCUCUGGGCAUUACCUGACGCUGAGGAGCGAAAGUGUGGGGAGCGAACAGG